RNAcentral lists this ribosomal RNA (912 nucleotides) under uncultured bacterium. Its description in RNAcentral is "bacterial SSU rRNA". It matches the Rfam family "Bacterial small subunit ribosomal RNA", at positions 8 to 907 of the family's 1533-position model. The record is from RNAcentral.
AGAGUUUGAUCCUGGCUCAGAGUGAACGCUGGCGGUAGGCCUAACACAUGCAAGUCGAACGGCAGCACAGAGGAGCUUGCUCCUUGGGUGGCGAGUGGCGGAUGGGUGAGGAAUACAUCGGAAUCUACUCUGUCGUGGGGGAUAACGUAGGGAAACUUACGCUAAUACCGCAUACGACCUACGGGUGAAAGCAGGGGAUCUUCGGACCUUGCGCGAUUGAAUGAGCCGAUGUCGGAUUAGCUAGUUGGCGGGGUAAAGGCCCACCAAGGCGACGAUCCGUCGCUGGUCUGAGAGAAUGAUCAGCCACACUGGAACUGAGACACGGUCCAGACUCCUACGGGAGGCAGCAGUGGGGAAUAUUGGACAAUGGGCGCAAGCCUGAUCCAGCCAUACCGCGUGGGUGAAGAAGGCCUUCGGGUUGUAAAGCCCUUUUGUUGGGAAAGAAAUCCAACUGGUUAAUACCCGGUUGGGAUGACGGUACCCAAAGAAUAAGCACCGGCUAACUUCGUGCCAGCAGCCGCGGUAAUACGAAGGGUGCAAGCGUUACUCGGAAUUACUGGGCGUAAAGCGUGCGUAGGUGGUUAUUUAAGUCCGUUGUGAAAGCCCUGGGCUCAACCUGGGAACUGCAGUGAAUACUGGAUGACUAGAAUGUGGUAGAGGGUAGCGGAAUUCCUGGUGUAGCAGUGAAAUGCGUAGAGAUCAGGAGGAACAUCCAUGGCGAAGGCAGCUACCUGGACCAACAUUGACACUGAGGCACGAAAGCGUGGGGAGCAAACAGGAUUAGAUACCCUGGUAGUCCACGCCCUAAACGAUGCGAACUGGAUGUUGGGUGCAAUUUGGCACGCAGUAUCGAAGCUAACGCGUUAAGUUCGCCGCCUGGGGGAGUACGGUCGCAAGACUGAAACUCAAAGG